This is a long non-coding RNA of Cyprinus carpio carpio, 1095 nucleotides long. The record is from Ensembl. NCBI's taxonomy places the organism in Eukaryota, Metazoa, Chordata, Actinopteri, Cypriniformes, Cyprinidae.
CAUGAUUUGAUCGUCUCGGCUCCUCAGCGUAAAACCUGAAUGAAUGGAUGCACGCUGUCACCUUAUAUACCCCAUAGGCACAGGGAGUGGCUCAGCAUGCAAAAUCCACUAGCCAAUUUUCAUUGGCGUUUUCUCUUAAACUCAGAGAUGAUUGGCCUCCCAAGUGAGACCCCAUAUGUUGUUCUACAUAACGUCUCUGUUCCCUCCAUCAGGGAACGAGGGUUAUGUACAUCACCGAGAUGUUUUUACAUUUAAGCAUUGGGUGGAUUAAGAGACCUAAAAUAUGCUCAUGCAGAAUAAGGCAUUAAUAUUUGCUUUAUAAGUACUAAUAAAGAGCCAAUAUGCUAGUAAUCUGCAUGCUAACAAGCAACUAGUUGAUAAUAAAAAUUGUUCCUUAAAAUAAAGUGUUACCAAAAUAUAUAUACCAAGAAUAUGUAAUAAUAAUGAAAAACAAAACAUACAAGUGUUUAGUAGGCAGAAUUAGCAGAAUACUUUUCUAAACAUAGAAAAAGGCAGACUUUUUUUCUUCCAUUUUAUAUAGGAUUUUGAUCAAAUACAGUUAAACAUAUAUGAUAUUUUUUAUCAAAAUGCUGACAGUCUCUUGUUUGUUUUCACAAGCACUGCAGUGAAUGGGUGUCGUCAGAAUGAGAGUCCAAACUGCUGAUAAAAAUAUUACUAUAAUCCACAAGUAAUGCACAGCCGUCCAUCAGUUAACAUUUUGAAGAGACAAAAUAUGCAUGUUUGCAAGGAACAAAUUCGUUAUUAAGUUGUUUUUAACUAACAACCAUUGCUUUUGGCUCAAAUUGGAGUCCAUAAUCCAUAAUAAUGUUUCCUCCAGUGAAAAAAUGGUCAGGAAUCUGCACCGAUCAAGCACUGUUUACAAGCCAAAACAGCUCUAAACAAAUAUGUGGCUGGAUUUUGAAAAGUUUUUGUCUUCUCCAGAUGUUAACUGAUGGACUAGAGUGCUGUGGAUUACUUGUGGAUUAUUGUGAUGUUUUUAUCAGCUGUUUGGACUCUCAUUCUGUAUCUCAGACAAAUAUUAUCCUCCUAACAAACCACACAUCAAUGGAAAUAUUAUUUUUUAUUCAAUUGUAA